ACUGUAAUGACCUUCCCGAUCAGAUUGCAAGGCCUUGCAGGUGAGCCGCGUCGAUGUGAGACACGUCCUCUUUUUCUUUUCUUUUCUGUUUGCUCUGGAAGGCACUCUCAGCUUGCAUUCCGCUCAAUAUGAUUCUGCUACUUUGGUCUACCCUUUUUUCAAUCUUACAUUUUUGUGUUAGGGAUUGUGUAUUUGUUUGGUUUGAAUCCAUGGGGAUGGAAUUGUCAUGAGCACCCUAUUCGGUUUUUCAUUUUUCACAUUGCUUUCACCAAGCGGAGUCAUAUUUUUCUGACUUUUUUGGUAUGUGAUGUUGAUAAGGUGGGAAUCCAUCCCUGAUGCUAGGGAACCUGCUUCGCUUCGCUUAGAGUAACUGGGAAGGACGAUCGAUUUUAGCCUUGAUUAAUCAGCAACUCUGGAUGGCCUGACGUGAAUAUGCUGAGUCCCGAAGAUCUCAUACUUUCCUUUUGCAGUGUGUCCUGGUGAAAGUUCGAUUACGAUCUGCGGUGUAUUAUGCUUCUUUUGGAAUAAAUGUCUCUUGAAGAUUGCUAAAAUCACCUGAAAAAAAGAGAGUAUAAUAAUGGCAGUUUCAGAACAUGAAACUGAUGAACAGGAGUUUACAUUAAUCAUAUAUGGGGCAAGGCUUGUUUCAAGACGUCCGUACAAAUAA
This 667-nucleotide long non-coding RNA is filed under the name Eucalyptus grandis. Its description in RNAcentral is "long non-coding RNA (EGRA_LNC006173)". The record is from RNAcentral. Lineage: Eukaryota; Viridiplantae; Streptophyta; Magnoliopsida; Myrtales; Myrtaceae.